CUCAAUGAUCUUUCAAUAGCCGCAAUACAUUGUGCUAAGGUAGCAUAAUCAUUUGUUUUUUAAUUAAAAACUAGAACGAAAGAUUUAUCAUUUUUUCUUCUUUCUUAAAUAUUUAUAUUAAACUUAUUUUAAAUAUAAAAAAAUAUUUAUUAAAAAAAAAGACGACAAGACCCUAUUGAACUUAACUUAAGUUUAACUGGGGUAGUUAAUUAAAUACAAUUUUAAUUUAAAUCAUAAAAAAUCUAAUACAAUUAAAAUAAUCAAGUUACCAUAGGGAUAACAGCGUAAUAAUUUUCUUAAGAUCUUAUUAUAAAAAUUGUUUACGACCUCGAUGUUGAAUUAAUAAUCUAUUAAAUGCAACAAUUUAAUAAGAAAGUCUGUUCGACUU
RNAcentral lists this ribosomal RNA (388 nucleotides) under Draconarius sp. ZZ334. Its description in RNAcentral is "partial 16S ribosomal RNA". The record is from RNAcentral. Lineage: Eukaryota; Metazoa; Arthropoda; Arachnida; Araneae; Agelenidae.